RNAcentral lists this long non-coding RNA (357 nucleotides) under Chinchilla lanigera (long-tailed chinchilla). RNAcentral describes it as "lncRNA (ENSCLAG00000027984.1)". Lineage: Eukaryota; Metazoa; Chordata; Mammalia; Rodentia; Chinchillidae. The record is from RNAcentral.
AGUUUACAUUAAAUGAAAGUUUAAAUAUAUAAUCCUUUUCCAGAACUUGAGAGGCCAAAGCAGGAGAAUCACAAGUUCAAGGCCACCCUGGGCGGCAUAACAAACUCACACUCUUGAAUCCUAUGCUGGAAUCCAUUUAUCACCAACAUGAAGAGCUGGUGGGCCAGCAUUCUUCCUCUUCCUGAAAGUUCCUGGGUUAUGGAAUAACACUAAAGUAAAUACUAUGAUCACACCGACUGACCUAAUUGUGAGGGGCUGACAUCCCACCAGAAGACUCCUGGGACUACUGGGUGACUACUACAUUUUCUUAAUUCUAACCACUCUUUGAUUGAAAGAUGGAUAUGUUUUUAUACUAGC